GCAGGCCUAACACAUGCAAGUCGAGCGAAGACUUCGGUCUUAGCGGCGGACGGGUGAGUAACGCGUGGGAACGUGCCCUUCACUACGGAAUAGUCCCGGGAAACUGGGUUUAAUACCGUAUACGCCCUUCGGGGGAAAGAAUUUCGGUGAAGGAUCGGCCCGCGUCUGAUUAGGUAGUUGGUGGGGUAAUGGCCUACCAAGCCUACGAUCAGUAGCUGGUUUGAGAGGAUGAUCAGCCACACUGCGACUGAGACACGGCCCAGACUCCUACGGGAGGCAGCAGUGGGGAAUCUUAGACAAUGGGGGAAACCCUGAUCUAGCCAUGCCGCGUGAGUGACGAAGGCCCUAGGGUCGUAAAGCUCUUUCACCCGUGAACAUCCUGACGGUAGCGGGAGAAGAAACCCCGGCUAACUCCGUGCCAGCAGCCGCGGUACUACGGCCGGGGUUAGCGUUGUUCGCAAUUACCUGGGCGUCAAGCGCCGCGUACGCGGGCUGUAAACUCCGCGCUGAAAUCCCGGGGCUCAACCCCGGAACUGCCUCCGAUACUGG
This 549-nucleotide ribosomal RNA is filed under the name uncultured organism. Its description in RNAcentral is "bacterial SSU rRNA". It matches the Rfam family "Bacterial small subunit ribosomal RNA", at positions 42 to 636 of the family's 1533-position model. The record is from RNAcentral.